Hippopotamus amphibius kiboko is the source of this 12102-nucleotide RNA transcript. It is a transcript of the gene named microtubule associated protein 2, with no coding region annotated. Lineage: Eukaryota; Metazoa; Chordata; Mammalia; Artiodactyla; Hippopotamidae. The record is from RefSeq and is a predicted model, not a curated record. The transcript is spliced from 9 exons.
CAUAGUUUUUCUUUAUACCCUACCAUUCAUUUGCCAUUUCAAAAUAUAAUUUUAAGCUUACUGCCUGAGCACUUGCCUAUUAUUUGUUUAAAAAUCAACCCAAUUACUUCAGGUUUACUUACAGCCUCGAAGAUGGAGUUUCAUGAUCAACAGGAAUUGACUCCCUCUCCAGCUGAGCUAUUAGACAAGAAGGAAAAGGAAUCAGAGAAAGAAAGUAAGCCUGGUGAAGACCUUAAACAUGCUGCCUUAGUUUCUCAGCCUGCGACAACUAAAACUUCCCCGGAUAAAAAGGACAUGCAAGGCACAGAAGAAGAAAAAGCACCUCCCGCUCUGUUUGGGCAUAGUCUCAGCGACAGCCUAGAAGAUACGAAACAGAAGACAGAACCAAGCCUAGUGGUACCUGAUAUUGGCCUUCCAGCAGAGCCCGCAGCUGCAAAAGAGCAAAAGGACUGGUUCAUCCAAAUGCCAAUGGAAGCAAAAAAGGACGAGUGGGGUUUAGUUGCUCCAAUAUCUCCUGGCCCCCUAACACCUAUGAAGGAAAAAGACGUACUUGAGGAUAUCCCCAAAUGGGAGGGGAAACAGUUUGAUUCUCCCAUGCCAAGUCCCUUUCAGGGAGGAAGCUUCACUCUUCCUUUAGAUGUCACGAAGAAUGAAAUCGUUGCAGCCGCAUCACCAUUUGCCCCCGUCCUGUUACAACCAGAUGACAAAAAAUCUCUGGGAGAAACUGGUAGCCCAGCAACUGCCAAAGAUAGUUCUACAGUCGAAGAGCCCCAUAAGGAUCAACCUGACAAAAUGGCAGAAGCACCAGCCUCAGAGGCAGUUGCCUCACCCAAAGAUGCUCACUUUUCAAUUGUGGAUGAGUGUGUCCCGGAGAAAGUUUUAGGAGAAGAGAAAGAGGCAAUAAAGCAAGAGAAUGUGCAGGUAAAAGAGACUCCCGCCCUCAGUGAACAGGAAUCUCUGUUUACUGAAAAGGAACCUCACCCAAAGCUUGAAGAAGAAACAACCAUUUCCGACAAAGAAACCGUGCCGAAAGAGGGUGAACCCCCAAAAUUGACAGAGGAAGAAACAGGUGUAAUUCAGCCCUCCAGAGAGCACACGUACUCAAAAGAAGAACAGAAAGGUCAGGAGCCUCCCACAGAUGUAUUAAAACAGGACUCAUUCCCUGUAAGUUUGGAGCAAGCAGUUACCGAUUCAGCCAUGACCUCUAAGACACCGGAAAAUAUCGUGACCGAACCAGCUGCACUAAGUGAAAAGAGUGCCACCCAGGAGCUUUUUGAAGAAAAAAUUGCUGACAAAGAUAGUAAGUUUGAAGAAGUUGGAGCUGUAACAUCAGCUGAGCUUGACAUGCCAUUUUAUGAAGAUAAGUCAGGAAUGUCCAAGUACUUUGAGACAUCUGCCUUGAAAGAAGAAGUGACAAAGAGCAUCCAGCCAGGCAGUGAUUACUAUGAACUGAGCGAUGCAAGGGAAAGUGCCCAAGAAUCUUUUGAUACCGCAUCUCCCACAUAUAAAAAUGGCGACAAGGCACCUCCAGAAGAGACAGAAUCCCAGCCCAGUGCUCCAGCACAGGAAACAGGGUAUAGCACUCUCGCACAGAGUUACCCAUCUGACUUACCUGAAGAACCCAGCUCUCCUCAAGAAAGAAUGUUCACUAUUGAUCCAAAAGUGUAUGGGGAGAAAAGGGACCUCCACAGUAAGAAUAAGGAUGAUUUGACGCUAAGCAGGAGUUUAGGACUUGGUGGUAGGUCUGCAAUAGAACAAAGAAGCAUGUCAAUCAAUUUGCCCAUGUCUUGCCUGGAUUCCAUAGCCCUUGGAUUUAACUUUGGUCGGGGGCAUGAUCUUUCUCCCCUUGCUUCUGAUAUUCUAACCAACACUAGUGGAAGUAUGGACGAAGGAGAUGAUUACCUUCCAGCCACAACACCUGCAGUGGACAAGGCCCCUUGCUUCCCAACAGAAAGCAAAGAAGAAAAAGAACAGGUAAAGGGAGAAAAGGCAACUGGAGAAGAAAACACCCAAGUCGAAACAUCGUGUGAGUCACCUUUCCUAGCCAAAGAUUAUUACAAAAAUGGUACUGUCAUGGCACCUGACCUGCCUGAAAUGCUAGACCUGGCAGGCACAAGGUCAAGAUUAGCUUCCGUCAGUGCAGAUGCUGAAGUUACCAGGAGAAAAUCAGUCCCAUCAGAGACCGUGAUGGAGGAGAGUAGUACUGGCUUGCCCCCUGUCACUGAUGAAAACCACGUCAUUGUUAAAACUGACAGUCAACUCGAAGACCUAGGCUACUGUGUGUUCAAUAAAUACACAGUCCCACUCCCAUCACCUGUUCAAGACAGUGAGAAUUUAUCUGGGGAGAGUGGUUCCUUUUAUGAAGGCACUGAUGAUAAAGUGCGAAGAGAUUUGGCCACAGAUCUUUCAUUGAUUGAAGUCAAACUGGCAGCUGCUGGAAGAGUCAAAGAUGAACUCAGUGCUGAGAAAGAAGCAUCCCCACCUAUCUCUGGUGACAAAUCAGGACUGAGUAGGGAGUUUGAUCAGGAGAAGAAAGUGAAUGAUAAGCUGGAUACUGUGCUAGAAAAAAGUGAAGAACAUGCUGAUUCAAAAGAACAUGCCAAGGAAACAGACGAGGCUGGUGAUGAAGUUGAAACUGCUGGAUUAGGAGUAACCCAUGAGCAAGCUUCAGCCGAAGAACUGACAGUCUCAAAAGAUGCAUCACCUCUUGUGGCUGAGAAAGCCGAGAAAGGUCUUAGUUCAGUGCCAGAGGUAGCUGAGGUAGAACCAUCCAAAAAAGCUGAACCAGAACUGGAUUUUGCUGCAAAGAAAGCUGACCAGGGUCAGUUAGAUGUUAAAAUCAGUGACUUUGGACAGAUGGCCUCAGGGCUACACAUAGAUGCUGGAAAGGCAACAGAGCUUAAACUUGAGGAUACCCAGGACCUCGUCCCCUCAUCCACAGCACCUCAGGAGGCAGAUGCAUUUAUGAGUGUUGAGCCUGGCCAUGUGAAAGAAGGCACCAAGGUUAGUGAAACAGAAGUCAAGGAGAAGGUGGCCAAGCCUGACCUGGUGCACCAGGAGGCUGUAGACAAAGAGGAGUCCUAUGAGUCCAGUGGUGAGCAUGAAAGCCUCACCAUGGAGUCCUUGAAAGCUGAUGAGGGCAAGAAGGAAACUUCCCCAGAAUCUUCUCUAAUUCAAGACGAGAUUGCCAUCAAAUUGUCUGUGGAAAUACCCUGUGCACCUGCUGUUUCAGAGGCUGAUUUAGCCGCAGAUGAGAGAGCUGAUGUCCAGAUGGAAUUUAUUCAGCUGCCAAAAGAAGAAAGCAAAGAGACCCCAGAUAUAUCUAUCACACCCUCCGAUGUUACAGAGCCUUUGCCUGAAGCCACCGGAGCUGAACCGUUGGAGGCUCAGAGCGAGGAAGAAGAGAUAGAAGCCCGGGGAGAAUAUGACAAACUGCUCUUCCGCUCAGACACCCUUCAGAUUACCGACCUGGGUGUCCCAGGUGUCAGAGAGGAAUUUGUGGAGACCUGCCCUGGUGAACACAAAGGAGUGAUUGAGUCCGUUGUAACCAUCGAGGAUGAUUUCAUCACUGUCGUGCAAACCACAACUGACGAAGGGGAGUCGGGUUCCCACAGUGUGCGUUUUGCAGCCCUAGAACAGCCCGAGGUGGAAAGGAGACCGUCCCCCCAUGCCGAAGAAGAGCUUGAAGUAGAAGAGGCAGCUGAAGCCCAGGCUGAACCCAAGGAUGGCUCCCCAGAAGCUCCAGCGUCCCCUGAGAGAGAAGAGGUUGGACUCUCAGAAUAUAAGACAGAAACCUAUGAUGAUUACAAAGACGAGACCACCAUUGAUGACUCCAUCAUGGAUGCUGACAGCCUCUGGGUGGACACUCAAGAUGAUGAUAGGAGCAUCAUGACAGAACAGUUAGAAACUAUCCCUAAAGAGGAGAAAGCUGAAAAGGAAGCUCGGAGACCAUCUCUGGAGAAACAUAGAAAAGAAAAGCCUUUUAAAACCGGGAGAGGCAGAAUUUCCACUCCUGAAAGAAAAAUAGCUAAAAAGGAACCUAGCACAGUCUCCAGAGAUGAAGUGAGAAGGAAAAAAGCAGUUUAUAAGAAGGCUGAACUUGCUAAAAAAACAGAAGUUCAGGCCCACUCUCCCUCCAGGAAAUUCAUUUUAAAACCUGCUAUCAAAUAUACUAGACCAACUCAUCUCUCCUGUGUUAAGCGGAAAACGACAGCAGCAGGUGCUGAAUCAGCUCAGGCUCCCAGUGUAUUUAAACAGGCAAAGGACAAAGUCUCUAAUCCUACCUUGUCAAAGAUUCCUGCCUUACAGGGUAGCACAAAGUCCCCAAGAUGCAGCUCAGCCUGCCCUAGUACGACUAAAAGGGCUACAUUUUCUGACAGUUUAUUCAUACAGCCCACCUCAGCGGGCUCCACAGACCGUUUACCAUACUCAGAAUCAGGCAACAAGGAUGGAGUAACCAAGAGCCCAGAAAAGCGCUCUUCUCUGCCGAGACCGUCCUCCAUUCUCCCUCCUCGCCGAGGUGUAUCAGGAGACAGAGAUGAGAAUUCCUUCUCUCUCAACAGUUCUAUCUCCUCUUCUGCACGGCGGACCACUAGGUCAGAGCCAAUUCGCAGAGCAGGAAAAAGUGGCACUUCAACACCCACUACCCCCGGAUCAACCGCCAUCACUCCUGGCACCCCACCAAGCUAUUCUUCACGCACACCAGGCACUCCUGGAACCCCUAGCUACCCCAGGACCCCUCACACACCAGGAACCCCCAAGUCUGCCAUCUUGGUGCCCAGUGAGAAGAAAGUUGCCAUUAUACGUACACCUCCAAAAUCUCCUGCUACUCCCAAGCAGCUUCGGCUUAUCAACCAACCACUGCCAGACCUGAAGAAUGUCAAAUCCAAAAUCGGAUCGACAGACAACAUCAAAUACCAGCCUAAAGGGGGGCAGCUUUAUGAAGAUCAGUGUACAAAGCACCUUGUGAUACUUGAAAGUUAUUAAUGAAGUGGUUUCACAAAUUAAAAAUCUAAUUUUCAUCUCCCUUUCCUUCAUCACAUAUCCUGGCCAUCUUUAAAUGCUAAUGAUUUUGUGCCCCAAACAGCUAUUAAAUCUGCCCAUUUCUUUCAGUCUGCUCUGUACCACCCUAGCGCAGGAUACAUUAUCUCUUGUUGAUGUCACUGCAAUAGUUAACUAUUCUCCCUACAUCUGUUCUUUUCUCUAUCUUUUUUUUUAAUAGAAUUUCUUUUUUUAAUUUUAUAUUGGAAUGUAGUUGAUUUACAAUGUUGUGUUAGUUUCAGGUGUACAGCAAAGUGAUUCAGUUACACAUAUACAAAUGUCCAUUCUUUUUCAGAUUCUUUUCCUUUAAUGGUUAUUACAGAAUAUUGAGUAGAAUAUUUCUGUUCUUAUCUCUAUCUGAUAUACUCUCAAUUCUGUAGCCAGUGCUUCUCACCACAUUUGUACAUUCCAUUGCAUAAUUGGUUAUUUAAUGUCUACCUUGUCUCACCUACUAGACUAUAAGUUCCAUAAAAUCAAUGAUGAGGUCCAUUUUGUCCUCAGGGUUCAGUACAUAUGAGUUCCAUCUUGCCCUCAGGGUCCAGUAUACAGUAAGUAUUCAGUAUAUUUGUUGAGUGAAAGUUAAGUAAAUGUAGCAUACCAUAUACAUGGAGAGAUGCAUUCUUUCUAGUGACUUGUGGAAUGAGUGUGAGUGCCAAAAGCCAUUACAGCUGUUACCCAAAGAAACCCCCAACAUUGGGGCCCCAGUGAAUUUUGUCUAAAAGCAUAUUGGAUCAUAAUGUAAGAGCUGAGUUCUUGAUCUAGCUUUUUACUAAAUUAUUGUGACCCUAGAUACUGACCUCUCUGGUCCUCAGCUUUCUUAUUUGUAGAAUAGAAGCAACAAAAUAAUACUUGUUUUUGUGCACGGCACCACCUCAUUUAAAUAGAGUGUGUGGUUACUUUAAGCUGUCAAACCCAUCAUUCUACUUAGGGUGUGACAGUAUUUUUGCAUUGCCGCUCAUUAAAAAGCAUUUGUUCAGGUACUCUAAUAGACUCCAUAAAUAUUUGUGCCACAAAGGGCAAGCUGAAGUUGAGUGAAAGAGCAGUGUUUCUGAAAUAGAAGAGGAGUGUAAUUGGGGAAUGGGCAGCAAUGGGAAAGGGGAAGGAGAUAAUGAAAGGACUGAAAUGUAGAGUGGAAUCUUUUUUAUAUUUUCUUAUAAAAUUUUAGGCAUUACUCUGAGACUUUUAUAGCCUUUCACAUGCUAACUUGAAUGAGUCGCUUUCAAUUUUAUAUUCAAGGGAAAAAAUGGAAUUAAUUCUGGAGGCAACUUAUAAAUUAUAGUGAAACAGGAUUUUUUUCCUCAUUAUAUAAAAUUAUGAUGGUCACCACUGUGAAGGUCAGCUGAGUGCUAUUAAUAUAUAGGCAAAUUUACAAAAUUAUAAAUUUUGUAAACAAAGAAAAGAAAGACUGAUGCUUAUUUAGAUAUUUUUUCUCGUUUGUAUAUUUAUUCUUUCAUCAUUUACGAAGACUCUGCUAAGUACUAUAUAACAUAAGGGGAAUGGAUGAAAAUAACAUGAGGUCUCUACAGUCUAGGCAGAAGUGUUUGUUUGUUUUUCUUGUCCUCCCCUAGUGUCCUGCCCUUAUUUAAUUUUAAGUUUUUUCUAAGCCAUUCUUUCCAUCUCCUUAGGGCUGCAAAUAAAUGCUAAAUAAGAAGUGUAAUAAAAUACCCCAUCAACUGUAAAAUACUGUCAGUCAACCCAGUGUGAAGAAAAACUGUUCACCAAAAUAUGUUACAUUAUAUUGACAAGGCAUUUUUUGCUAUGAAAGUCAUCAUCAUCUCAAAAUGAAAGCUCCUUGAGAUCAGGAACCUUGUCUUUAUGCAAUAGAACUUUUAUAACUAUAAUUCAAUAUCUUUUGUAAGGUAAUGAAAAGUUUUCAAGUUAAGCUUCAUAAAUAUUAAUUAUUAAAAACUAUGGGAAAAUUAUUACUUUGGGCUUACAAAGUUGAGGCCUACAGAGUCUCUAUUUGUUUGCUCUUCAUUUAUAAACCAAGCAAGGACAUGGGAACAACCUUGAAUCUCAGGUUGUUUUCAAACAACUGAACAGACUCUUGAAAAGUUACUUUCUUACCAACUUGGCCCAGUAUUCCUUAAACUAUCUUAAAAAUUUAAACUAAAGAAAAAAUAUAAUGUCAAGAUUAUGGCAUAUGAACUUGAUAAAGCUCAUUAUCUGUUAAUUUUCGUGAAUCACAAUGACUGUUAUAUUCAUAACUUUCCUUCCAGUGCCCUUGGACAGACUACUUGAAAUAUCUAACGAUGUCUGUUUCACCAAAAAGUUCUUUCCAAGUUUUUCAGCAUUAUCCAUUCACCCCAAGGUUUCUCAGUGAGGUUUUACUUUCUGUGCUGUGUGACACAGCCUGCACAGGAAAAUUGGGCUGAUGCCUUCAUGGCUCCCCUUCCAUAUUCUCUUCCUUAAAGCUCUGUGAAAUUGUAUGUUUUGAGAUAAACUAUUAUUUCUAUUUAAAUGUGUAUUGAAGUAUACUUAUUGUUUAUAUUUGGUAUACUUAGUUUUGAGGAAAUUAUUGGUCAGUGUAGGUAGGAUAAAUUACAAUUCAGAAUGGACUAUGUUUGUAUACCUGCAUGCAUUUUGACCAGAGCACAGGGUUGUUAACAGAUGAAUAUUUAAAGAACAGAUGAAUAUUUAAAGAACAGAUGUUAACAGAUGAAUAUUUAAAGAACAUCAUCUGUUCCAGAAAACUUUCACUCUUCAGAAAUAUAUGAUAUAAUAAUAUUUUUGCUUUAAUAUAUGAUGCCUCUGGACUCUAUGGAGGCUAAAUAGUUUUCAUUAAAAUUGAAUGGUAUGGAAUAGGAAAUACUUUGGAGAAAGGCAGAAAAGUGUUUUGAUAAUGUAAAUAUAAAGAAAAGCUUCAUAAGCAUUCCUGAGAAAUGAUGCAAACCCAAAGGAAAAGCUUAAUCCCCUAUAAAGUUGAAGAGAAGUCAAUUGAGUGUUCCUGUCCACUACCUUUCAAAAAAAAAAUUCUUCCUAAGGCAGCCUUGUUUGGAGAAAGAAAGAAAUGAUGUUGUUUAUACCUCGAGGAUGCCGGAAGGGCCUAGCACCAGAUUGUAAAGGAACUGAGACUAGAAUCCAAACUUUUGGACUCCCAGUUACUUUCCAUGUCUUGCCAUCUUGAGCUAAUAUGUGGAUGUUUUUAUUUUAAAAAGCAGCAGCAGAGAAUGUCAAAAAAAUCAAAUUCCCAUUGCUAAAGAAAUCCAAGUUGACACUGUGAUUAAUGCCUCUGUUUAUAAACUGUUUUACUAAAAACUACAAGUUAGAUUUAUUUUCUCUCAUUUUGCAUGUUUCAUAUUUCCAGCUAAUCUCUAGUAAGAGAGAUCUUUUCCUGCCUGCAGGCAUAUCCUGCAUUUUGUAUUCUUACUCUUUCUUAGGGUAACCCCAUUUUGGGGAGAAAAAAGGCUAAUUUCUCUAAAUGAGCAAUUAAACUUAUAUGCAUAGAGAGUACAGUGGCAGAUCAGUUCAAUUGAACCAUCAUGAUAAAAUUCAGCUAGAGUCACAUCAAGAAUAUCCAGAAAGUAAGUAUUCUGUUCUUUCCUAACAUGGUGGAGGAAUAGACAGAAUUAAUUAAAGUUAAAUAAUUCUGAUUAAUUAUUCAAUUACAUUAGCCUAUUCUUUUUAACUCUUCAUGCUUAUAAGACCCUUAUAUGAAUGAAAAAUCAAUGAUGAAAGUCACCACUGUACGCCCAUGAGAAUGAAAUCCUUUUUUUGCCAGCCUCUCACUGGAGGGACUGAUUAGGCUGAACCUUGAAGGAGGAUCUGUUACAGACUCAACUUGGAAUGAGGGCAUUCUGUCAGGAGAAAUAACAUAAAGAAAGCAUGGGGAUGAACUUGAAAAUGUAAACAAGGCCCUUAAAGUAUGGACUAUAACACAGUCUGGAUGAAAUGUACAGCAUUAAGAGAGGACUCAAAAAUUAGAAUUGCUGUGAACCCUGGUUGCCUGGCUAAAAGUUUUGUUGUAUUUAAUAGUAAAUAGGGAGUUUGGUAGAAUUUUGAAUAAGGCAGAGUUUAGGAAGAUGACCCAGUUGAUUGAUAUAAUAUAUUUUCCUUCCACUGUGAAAUAUGUAGAAGGAAAGAUAGAUUGUCAUAUUCUUUGCAUUAAUAAAACAAGUAAAAAUUUUGAUUGAAAGAAAUUAACAAAGAUUAAAGUAUGGUUUCUAGUUAAUGUUGGAUGGUUAUUCAGAUAUUUUUUCCUUCAUAUCAUGAAUAUAGAAAAUUAGUUCAUUUGUAAAAUAGAAGUUCAUUAUAUUUUUUCUAGGCAGUCUCUAAGAUGUUAAAAUAAUUUUACCUUGACAUAGGCUUUAGGAAAACAAAAUUCCAAUGAAAAUUUCUUCCUAAAGAAAGUAAUUUAUUUCAAUCUAUCCAUAGAGAACAGAGAGUUAAAACUUGACUCUCUGAUUAAAAAAAAAAAAAAAAACUAUUUUUCUAUUUUAUGGGAUGGUUUUGAGGACCACCAGUAUUUGUGGAAUUAAUUCUCUAAGGUGUUAUUUGUCAAUGUUGCUAGAGACGUUUGACAUGAAGUAUUUUGUAAUUUUGCUAAGGGAUAAAUGUGAGUCACAAGGCUGAAGUACAAGUUGUCAAGCUAGAGUGCAAAUCUUACUGAACAUCAAACAUUCACUGCCUAGAGUGGUUUUGUUUCUCUCCACUCAACCAUUAAGCACAAUGGUGAAUGUCAUACUGUGCCUCAUUUUAGACAAAAGCAAUAUACCAUGAAGUUUUUGCAAUUAUGGAAAUAUGUAAAGAACACACUACUAACGCAUGUCAAAUUGAACAAAUAUGGGUUGAUAAUGUCUGUCAUCAAAAAAGGCCAGCUAGUUUUUUCACUAGAAAAUCUGGGGAAAAUCAACCUUGAAGUUGGCCUUGAAGUUUUAGGAUUUAAGGUUUGAAUCAUCUAUAAAUAAUGCAGGCAAUGUGUCCCCUUUGGGUUUGAAUCAUUUGUUUUGGAAAUCAUAAAAAUUGUCAGUUAGUUAAACGUUAGAGUCAAACAAAUUUAUGCAACUUGGAAUUUGAAAUUUCCAUUUUUACAACAAGUGAGUCAGAUUUAACAUUUGGCUUUUGAUCACUUGGUAAUGAGUCACUUGAUUGCUACUCUUAUGAUCUCUAAAUUAAAAUUUGUAAAUGAAAUAUGAGACUCUGUAUAUCCCCAAGGAUUAGAAAAAUGGCUUAAAUUCUGUUUCACUGCCAAAUAAAUAGAUCCUCAUGGAGAAUAAUUUAAAGUAUUAUUAUUAGAAAUAACAAAUCAAAAUUAUUUGCUUUCUAAAAAUAACUUACCUGUGAGGUUUGAAAUGUAGUGGCCCUUAUUGACUUUGUUAUCUGCAUCUACAGUUUAUGGGAAACUCUUACAGCUCAACUACAUUUAUUGUUAGAUACAGACUCUGUGAUAUCCCCCCUUUUUUUAAAUUGAGGAAUUUUAUUAUUGGAAUUUUUAUUAUGCCCUAAAGAGUGGCCACAUCAUCAUGUCUUCUGAAUUCAGAUUUUGACAAGAGGCCCUUCCCUUGGGCUGCCAAUGAGAGCUGUCGAUGAUACUUCCCUGUAAGGAGCAAGCUAUCUUGUCAAUGCUGGGCAGUUGCUGCAAUUUAAGCUUUGUCUAGCUAAAAAUAGUCAGGAUUCAAUGUCCUCUUGAAUUUUUUACUCUUUUUUGUGAAUACCAAGAGAUGUGAUACCAUCCUUGGAGACAGAUGUAUAUUUAGGGUAAAUUUAUUUAGCUUUUUUUAAUAUAUAAGAGGAUAAACUGUCCCCUAAAGCACUGAAAGUGUGAUUUUUCUUUAGCUAUUGGAGGGUGGUUGUAGCCAAAGUGAAAUAAAACAAACCAAAAAAUAACAACAAAAAUAAACCUUUCCUUCUGUUCUCACAUUGCUUGUCAGCCCUCCAAAACAUGCAAAAUUCAAAAGACACAUGAAAGAAGCUACAAAUUAUUACUUUGCACAUUAUAUUACACCAGAGUAAUAUCUUUGCAGAUCUAGAUUUGCUGUUGUCUCGAUUCGCUAUUGUCUUCCAGAUGAAUACUGGACUUCCUGAAAAUAGAAAUAAAACACCUAACCUCAAAUCUGCUGGGCACCACCAAGGCCUGGACUGCAUGCACAUGACCUAGUACAAGUCAGCUAACUAUUGGCCUUUGGGUUUCUCCCCUCUAAAAAUGGAAAGAAUGCUUUCACACCAAAUCCAAGGAUAAUGGCUAUUCAUGAGCAGUGGUCAGAGAAAGGCCUUUCAGAAGGCUACUGAGCCAAACCUGCAAGGGAAUCGUAGAGCUUUUCAACAGAGGAGGCCCAGAGCCUCCUUGUCGACCAUCUUAGGAAACCAGGGCUUCUUCCCCAAGAUGAUUGAAAACCCUCAUCUGUAGCAUUCAGCCAGACCAAUUUUAUUAUUGGAACUUUUAUUAUGCCCUAAAGAGUGGCUGAAUCAUCAUGUCUUCUGAACCUCACCUGUUUCACGUGGACCAGUCUUAGUCAAGUCACGCGUACCAGGUGAUUUACAAUUGUGAUGGCUAAUACUGUAGGGGUUAAGGGGAGUGGGGCACUGGCGUAUCCUUCAGGAUUCUGGGCUGAACCACACUACUGGACCUUCCAUAGAGCGGACCUGAGUCCUAGUGUUGCCCGCAAUAUCGGAAGCUUCCUCCUCACUGAUAAUUCAAGUUUUAUUUUUCUAUUGCCGUAUUGUUUCCAGAUUACAGCAGCCAAAAGCUGGGAUAUCUAAGGCUCUCAAGCAUUUGACCCUUGCGGUUGCAGAAGAAAAGGGGCUCAUAUUUAUAUGAUAGAUCUGCUCUUCAGUUUCAGUGUCAAUUUUUUUGUCUUAAGUGAUUAUGUAGGUGGAAGGAGUUUGGAGCCUCUUUGCUGCUACCCAUUCCUGGUUCCCUAUACCCAGCAUGUUGAAAGAAAAACGCACAGUGAAGUUACUUCCAAUUCCUUUUAGGUUAGGAUUUUAAACAAGAAGAUCGAUUUUAGCAAGGUUCAGUCCAGAUGUGGUUCCAAGGAUAACAUCAAACAUUCUGCUGGGGGCGGAAAUGUACAGAUUGUCACCAAGAAGAUAGACCUAAGCCACGUGACAUCCAAAUGCGGC